AACGAUAUCUACUCUGUGAUUGGUCCACACGCUAUAGGAUGUUGCAAGGAAGUUUCACUUACUACUUUUGUCAUUAGUUUUCUCCUUGUUUUAAAGAAUCCACCUAACAGACCACACAAAUUACUCAUUCAUAUUCUCCAUUUUCAAAGUCUUUUUUCAUCCAUAUUCUUUCAAUUCUCAUGGCUAUGCAAUCACCUUCCCGAGUGUUCCUCAGUUUCAGGGGCAGUGACACUCGCAACAAUUUUACCGGUAAUCUCUAUAAGGCUCUCAUUGACAAGGGAAUUUGUACUUUCAUUGAUGAUAAUGAUCUUGAAAGAGGAGAUGAAAUCACACCCAAACUUGUCAAGGCCAUGGAAGAAUCUAGGAUUUUUAUUCCCAUAUUUUCUGCCAACUAUGCAUCUUCUUCAUUUUGUUUGGACGAACUUGUCCACAUCAUUCACUGCUACAAGACAAAGAGUUGCUUAGUAUUGCCCGUUUUUUAUGAUGUGGAACCUACUCACAUACGACAUCAUAGUGGAAGUUAUGGUGAGCAUCUUACUAAGCAUGAAGGGAGAGGAGAGUCCCUGCAACCAUAGGCGACCACAUCAGUGUCAUCAUCCACUACUGUCGCGUGCUUGAGUUCCACCGUCUCUCCAUCAUAUUGUGUCGUUCAGUCAUCGCCGAUGCAAGAGAAACCAGGUGGUCGUUUUGUCGCCGGUAGUCCGCUGCUGCUAUUUUUCCCUCUCCUGAUUUCUCCCUUCCCCUCUCAUGUCUCACAUAUAAUCUUCCUCCAUCUCUUUUUCUGUCUGAUUGUUCGCAUAACAAUGCAACAAAACAUGAGAGUUGGCAAGAGUAUAAUCCAUGCAGCCAGAAUGAGAACAAUGCUGCUAUAACAUGUUAAAGUUACCAAACAUGUCAUAAGAAUUGGAACCAAUAAAUGUCAUGCUUAAUAUCAUUGAUAGCAGUGUGUUUUACUUCAACAAAAAAAAUAUGAACUCUCACAUAGAAGGCUGUGUGAUAUUGUAAAGUCCACUUGUAUGUAACUUGUCAUUGCUCAAUGAACAGAGCUUUGAGCGAUAAUUAUGUAGUACACAUUGUCACAAGCAUUACUUGGAACAAUUGGGAUCAUAUAUGUUGGAUCUAUAAUACUGGAAAAAAGAAGGCAACUUUCUGAGAGUGUGUGUGCACGUGCGCACUUGUCGUGGAAGAUCAAAUUGAUAAUUGUAAGCCGCAGAAAUAUCUUCAUAAACAUUUAUCAGAUAAGAGAAAAUUGGGAAGGAACAAACACAUCAUAUUCUGUAAUGGCUACUUUUGAGCACUUGUACGAAAUUCAAAAUAACUAUCCGACAUUCAUAAGUGAUGUUACGUUGAACUUAAGCUACUUAUGAAUUGGCAUUCUCGAUACCUAAGGGAUGGCAAUGCAUCUUUGAACUUUUUCGGAAGGAGAAAACAAUUAGAAACAUUUUAAAAUCAAGCAAAACAGAAAACCAAUAUUCUGUCACAAUCCUAGACAAUUUUAUCAUAAAAGACAAGUAGUGGCAGUGAUGCAGGCGAUAGUAUUUCAUCCAAUAAUCAUAGGAUAAAUGAGCGUUGCUGUAACACUAAAGAGCACAAAGCAUAUACAGCAAAUAGAACAAAAAAACACAGUCAAUAAAGAUUUGGUAUCAGCUGAUUAAAUGUGUCGCUAUGAAAAACAAAUUGUAUGAACAUUGUAUUUCACGGUAAGGAUUUAGGUAAGAAUCCAAAUUCAUUCAAAAUAAAUUGCAGCUUCUAUAGGUUCAUCCUCAACUUUGCGACCUUAAAAUGAAAUUUGUGUGAGAUAUAUGCACGCAAAAGAAAUUCGAAGAGAAUGUUCUUAAAUCACCAUAACUUAUAACUUGACAAAUAAAAAAAAGAGAUGUGACAUAAUGUUAUGUGUUUUGCUAAGGCAGUUUUUGUUUGUGAUUUUAUUAGAAUGUUUUAGUAUCUAGGGUGUCGUGCAGGAAGCGUGGUGGGGUCAAAUUCACAUCUAACUUACUGCUGAUCAGCAACGUCGUAAAGGCGAUCAUACAUUUUAUUGAUAUCCCAACAACCACAAUCAUAUACUUCUUUGUGAAAAAUAAGAAAAAUUUGCCUUGCUUCGAUAUUUGUACCGUAGUUUGUUUUAUCUCUUAUCUCAAUAUUUGUGUGUAAGCUGCAAUUUUCCAUAGCUUUCUUAGCUCUGUUAUUUGAUGAAAUUUUUUAUAGGGUCUAAAACUUGAAAUUUAAAACUUUUAUAGGGAUAUAAAACAUAUUUAACAUUUUUUUUAAACAUAAGGCUUUGAUAAUAUUUGCAUAUUUACUACUUGAGUUUUCAUGAUGCUGCUGGUUGAAUAGAAGACUGCAGCUGGUUGAUGCGACUGGGGCAUUGUGUUUUGAUACCAGACCUUCAUUUGACUUGGAAUUCCAAUGACAUAUUUGAUGUUACAUUUCUCUUUGCAUCCACACUACCGUCCCUAGCUAUUUGAAAACUUGGAUAAUGAUAUAUGUCGCGAAAAAAUUACUCGUGAUGGCAUCACGACUCCUAACAGCUGAAGUUCAUUUGCGAUGGUUUCGGGAACGUUUGCUUCGCAAUGAAUAGCACUGCUUUGAACUUUUAGGCAGCAUAUGACUUCGGUAAUGGUAUCAUUUUCCCUAAAUCUCAAAGAAGCUAGAAAUGAGGAUUUAAAAUAGUCCCACGUCGACCAGAAAAGUAAUAAGGUAUUGUUUAUAAACUUUGAUGUGUACCAUAUAUGUUACUUUGUUGAGGAAUGUGGAGAGUCUAAACGUGAUGUUACUCCAAGUUCUUCUUCUUCCAUUGUUUUUAAUGAAAGAAUUGAAUAUGUUACCGUUCCGUUCCUAUUUGAACUUUUAAAAUAGUCCCACGUCGACCAGAAAAGUAAUAAGGUAUUGUUUAUAAACUUUGAUGUGUACCAUAUAUGUUACUUUGUUGAGGAAUGUGGAGAGUCUAAACGUGAUGUUACUCCAAGUUCUUCUUCUUCCAUUGUUUUUAAUGAAAGAAUUGAAUAUGUUACCGUUCCGUUCCUAUUUGAACUUUUAAAAUAGUCCCACGUCGACCAGAAAAGUAAUAAGGUAUUGUUUAUAAACUUUGAUGUGUACCAUAUAUGUUACUUUGUUGAGGAAUGUGGAGAGUCUAAACGUGAUGUUACUCCAAGUUCUUCUUCUUCCAUUGUUUUUAAUGAAAGAAUUGAAUAUGUUACCGUUCCGUUCCUAUUUGAACUUUUAAAAUAGUCCCACGUCGACCAGAAAAGUAAUAAGGUAUUGUUUAUAAACUUUGAUGUGUACCAUAUAUGUUACUUUGUUGAGGAAUGUGGAGAGUCUAAACGUGAUGUUACUCCAAGUUCUUCUUCUUCCAUUGUUUUUAAUGAAAGAAUUGAAUAUGUUACCGUUCCGUUCCUAUUUGAACUUUUAAAAUAGUCCCACGUCGACCAGAAAAGUAAUAAGGUAUUGUUUAUAAACUUUGAUGUGUACCAUAUAUGUUACUUUGUUGAGGAAUGUGGAGAGUCUAAACGUGAUGUUACUCCAAGUUCUUCUUCUUCCAUUGUUUUUAAUGAAAGAAUUGAAUAUGUUACCGUUCCGUUCCUAUUUGAACUUUUAAAAUAGUCCCACGUCGACCAGAAAAGUAAUAAGGUAUUGUUUAUAAACUUUGAUGUGUACCAUAUAUGUUACUUUGUUGAGGAAUGUGGAGAGUCUAAACGUGAUGUUACUCCAAGUUCUUCUUCUUCCAUUGUUUUUAAUGAAAGAAUUGAAUAUGUUACCGUUCCGUUCCUAUUUGAACUUUUAAAAUAGUCCCACGUCGACCAGAAAAGUAAUAAGGUAUUGUUUAUAAACUUUGAUGUGUACCAUAUAUGUUACUUUGUUGAGGAAUGUGGAGAGUCUAAACGUGAUGUUACUCCAAGUUCUUCUUCUUCCAUUGUUUUUAAUGAAAGAAUUGAAUAUGUUACCGUUCCGUUCCUAUUUGAACUUUUAAAAUAGUCCCACGUCGACCCAAAAAGUAGUAAGAUGGUAUUUAUAAACUUUAAUGUGUACCAUACAUGUUACAUUGUUGAAGAAUUGAGAGUAACGUGGAUUUGGAUGUUAUCCUUAGUACUUCUGUAAUGGUUUUUAAUGAAUGAGUUGAACAUAUUUUUUAAAGUAUAACUUGGUUCCUUUUAUUUAAUUUCCAUAGUUUAUGAUGCAAGAUCGUUUUGUUAAUCUUUUUUUUUUGAACUAGAAGAUCGUUUUGUUUGUAAUCAUAUAAAAUAUUCUUCAACUUUUUAAAUUAUUGAAUUUUUUUUUUUUUUUAUGGAAGGUUAUUGAAUAAUUUUUGUGUACCACUAAUAUGUCUUCUCUCACCCAAUGCCCACUAUUUUUUCCAGCAAAACCUUCAUUGUGAGCAGGAAAAAAAAAAGCUUUCAUUCCUCCACAAGCUUAAUUAUAAUUAUUAUCUUGAAUCUUAAAAAAGAAACUCCAAAGUUCAUAUAAUUUGAAUUGGAACUAAAAUUUUCCUCAUGAAAAAUUGAUAAAGAGAUUUCAAUUCUGAUUCUCUAUUAGUAGCAAAGUUGUCAAAAUCAGGACUUUACUUCAGGUCGAAAGGAAAUAGCAAAAUUGGGACUCGUAAAAUCCCAAUCAAAAUCGAAUGAUUUUACUCAAUGACUUUUGUAGAAUCGAUAUUGGAAAUUGUAAAAUCGCAAUCAAAAUCGAUGGAUUUUACCAAAAAAUAAUAAUACUAACUAUAUGUUAUAAAUGGUAUAUAGUCAUAAAUAACUUAGUUUAUAAGAAAUCGUAAAAUGACAAUCAAAAUUGAUGGAUUUUGCUUAUUUUGGGAUUCUAUUAUGAAUUUGAGUCAUUGAAGGUGAAGAAAGUCGCAAAAUCCUAGAUUUUAAGAUUUAAGUCGGGAUUUUGACAACAAUACUUAGUAGUAUAUCUAACUUUCUAUUUUCCUAAUGAAUCCAUUUUCGGGUCAAUCCAAACCCAAUUUCAAUGAUGUGGAGUAAUGUAAAAUAUGGGGGCGUCGAUUGCAUGUUCCAAAUCAUCACUGUUCGCAGCGACACCACAACUCAUUGUCAAUAGAAGCUCGUCCUCUUCUCAUCCCCAUUGCAGCAGCGUUGCUGCAGACGUUCAUAUUUUGAAAGGUUUACUCAAACACACUAAACAUGGUAGAGGGUCUUUAUAUCUGUCAUGAGAAGUAAAACACAUCAAAGAUAAAAAAUAAAAAAUAAAAAUAAAAAAAGACAAGAAAUCCAGAAUUAAGAUAAAAGGAAAUCUUGAAAGACAACCACGAAUCUCGAAAAAUGGAAAGAAUUUUUUUAAGAACCACCGACAAUUUUCUUUAUUUUGCGUUUGGAAGAAGAAGAAGAUGAUGGGAAUGGUAAAAAGAACCCUAAUAUAAAGAGUAAGGAUUGGAUGGAGAAGACAUAAAUGUUACUUUUUUUUUUAUUUCCAACAAAUCUCGUCCUUUAAUUUACUUGUUAGUCCAAUGGUGUGAUAUAUUAGGGGUACACCAGUGACUUGCUUAAUUUCAACCUAUUUUUUAGCUGUACUUGUAGUUUAAUUGGUGAUAUAUUCAUCUGUCAAAGGAAGUAUGCAAAAGAGAUGUUAAAGAAAUUCAAUAUGGAUUACUGUAAAAGCAUGAGCACUCCUAUGUGUCCAAAGGAGAAGCUAUGCAAGGAUGUUGAAGAAGAACAAGUGGUUGAAACACUUUACUGAAGUUUAAUUGGCUGCUUAAUGUAUCUUACAACUACAAGACCAGAUAUUUUUUAUGCUGUAAAUGUUCUUUCAAGAUUCAUGAAUUGUGCUAAAGAAUCUCAUUUCAAAGGAGCAAAAAGAGUGUUGAGGUAUGUCAAGGGAACCUUAAAUUAUGGCAUUAAGUUCUGUCGAUCGGAAAAAUUCAAGUUGCAAGGUUACUCUGAUAGUGAUUGGGCAGGAUCUUUAGAUGACAUGAAAAGCACUUCAGGCUACUGUUUUAGUUCUGGGACAGGGAUAUUCUCUUGGAGUUCAAAAAAACAAGAAAUUGUUGCACAAUCAACAGCUGAAGCAGAGUUUAUUGCAGCCACAGCAGCUGUUAAUCAGGCCUUGUGGCUAAGAAAAGUUCUAACUGAUUUGCACUUAGAGCAAAAGGAAACUACUGAGGUAAUGGUGAACAACCAGGCAGCCAUUGCCAUCUCCAAAAAUCCUGUUUUUCAUGGUAAAACAAAGCAUUUUAGUAUUAAAUUAUUUUUCCUCAGAGAUGUUCAAAAGGAUGGUGAUGUGUGUUUGAAGUACUGCAAGACUGAAGACCAUUUGUCAGAUAUCUUUACAAAAGCUCUUCCAAAAGGCAGGUUUGAGUUAAGGGAGAAACUUGGAAUAUCCAACUACUGAUACAAGGAGGAGUGUUGAACGUGUGUAUCAGCAGUUGUUACUGCCAGCUGCACUGAUUGACCAAGUCUUUAGGAGAAUUUGUUUUAAUAUUUCAGUUUUUAAUUAGCUAAUAAAGUAGUGGCUAAAGAUUAGGAGUUAGUUACUCAUUAUUUGUUUUUAUUUAAGUCACAGCUUUGUAUUUUGACAGUAGUUUUUCAUUCAAUAAAGCUUAGUUUUUCCUUCCUAUUUUAUGAGUUACGUAUAAACACCAAACAGUAUUUCAUCCAGUAAUCAUAGGAUAAAUGAGCAUUGCUGUAACACUCAGACUGAACAAAGAAAUCAAGAUGAUGAUGCAGUCAAAGAUCAUACUAAAGAGCACAAAGCAUAUACAGCAAAUAGAACAAAAAAACACAGUCAAUAAAGAUUUGGUAUCAGCUGAUUAAAUGUGUUUCUAUGAAAAACAAAUUGUAUGAAAAUUGUAUUUCACGGUCAGGAUUUAGUUAAGAAUCCAAAUUCAUUCAAAAGAAAUUGAAGCUUCUAUAGGUUCAUCCUCAACUUUGAAUUUUGGAGGUUGCUGUUUAAUUUCCAUGAUAUUAUUGACUAUUGGUCAAACAUAAAAUAAAACUACAUUUUAAAUGACGGAAGUAGUAAGGAAGUUUCGUAGACAAUUUAUUUUUUGUUUAUUUAUUUAUUUAAGUUUUCUCGUUGUUUUAUUGUUUGAAUGGUAACCACAUUUAAGAUAUCAGCAAGAAGAGGUGGUAGUGCAACGAUAUCUACUCUGUGAUUGGUCCACACGGCUAUAGGAUGUUGCAAGGAAGUUUCACUUACUACUUUUGUCAUUAGUUUUCUCCUUGUUUUAAAGAAUCCACCUAACAGACCACACAAAUUACUCAUUCAUAUUCUCCAUUUUCAAAGUCUUUUUUCAUCCAUAUUCUUUCAAUUCUCAUGGCUAUGCAAUCACCUUCCUGAGUGUUCCUCAUUUUCAGGGGCAGUGACACUCGCAACAAUUUUACCGGUAAUCUCUAUAAGGCUCUUGUUGACAAGGGAAUU
This 7365-nucleotide long non-coding RNA is filed under the name Medicago truncatula (barrel medic). Its description in RNAcentral is "long non-coding RNA (MTRU_LNC004371)". The record is from RNAcentral. Lineage: Eukaryota; Viridiplantae; Streptophyta; Magnoliopsida; Fabales; Fabaceae.